Molecule: non-coding RNA, 768 nt
Organism: Coffea arabica (coffee)
Lineage: Eukaryota; Viridiplantae; Streptophyta; Magnoliopsida; Gentianales; Rubiaceae
Source: RefSeq, a predicted model, not a curated record
AUUCGUAUGAAAUGGACAUAUAAGAAAAUUUGCACCCCUUAGCUCCGCCGCCACCGUGCGUCAACUUUUUUCUACCAAAACUAAUAAAAUGUUGUUGCAUUUUGUUUCUUCACCUCGCCCUUACAAGCUGACUUGCCCGCACCCAGUAGGUCGUGGAAGUGGAGGUAAAUGGAGUAAAGCAAAGAAGUGGAGUGCGCAUAAAGAAGUGCAGGUAUUUGGAGAACAGCGGGUGCGUAGGAAUGUGCGUUAACAUGUGCAAAAUACCCACACAAGACUUCUUCACCGACGAAUUUGGGCUUCCAUUAACUAUGACCCCAAUCCUGCUGCGCGCUGUUGGAAAAUGCAGAUUUCGAAGAUAUGAGCUGUGAGAUGGUGUACGGGCAGGCUCCACCGCCAUUUGAAGAUGACCCGGCAUCCAAACAACCUUGUUUUGCAGAUAUUUGCUCUUUGGCAAAUCCCAAUUCGAGCGUCUGUCCCAAGCUGCAAACCUAACAGAAACAGCUCCUAUUUCAUUUCUUCGGGAAGUGUUGGGGGCCGUGACUAUGGCGCGACAUUCAAAAGUAACAGAAAAAGAUCAAACUCGCAGGAAUUGUUUGUUUGAACUAAUGGGACUGCUCUAUCUUUGACUAGCGAACUCGUAGUCGUAGCAUUCCGCGUAAUUAAUGCAUAUAAGUUCGCCAAUCACACUACUGUAAUAUGCUGGUUUCUGGUGUUGAGACUUUUUUUAACUCACUUUGAUGACCUUGUCGUCAUUUCCUUUUGACAACA